RNAcentral lists this long non-coding RNA (4915 nucleotides) under Anolis carolinensis (green anole). RNAcentral's name for it is "lncRNA (ENSACAG00000044549.1)". Lineage: Eukaryota; Metazoa; Chordata; Lepidosauria; Squamata; Anolidae. The record is from RNAcentral.
AUGUCUAUGCAAUUUCAAGAUGAUGCAGAUGGUAUACCUCCUUCUGAGGCUGAAAGUAGGAAUGAAAGGCCCCAAAGGAUAAAGCACCCUUCAGCCAAGAUGCUAGCCCAUCUAAUAGAUGAAAAGGAGCUCCUCCAUGUGAGGUUAGGUUCGGCAUGGGAGCGCAUCACAACAUUAAUGGACAGAAUUGAGAGCUUGGGUAUUACAAGGGUGCCAUCCAUAUUACAGACAGACCUUGAAGAGACCUUCGGUAUUUGGAGGGGUUUGGUGUCUAAGAUAGUCCAGGUCCUCGAGCGCAUUAACGCCAAGGAUUCAGAGUUAGAAAUAGUGAGUGUCUUAGCUGACACUAAUGAGAAAGAAAAUAAGGUGAGGGCAAUUCUAGAUGCCUUGGAAUUUAGUUCUCCAUCUGUUAAUCUAAGGUCUGAGCCAAAAGGAAAUCAGUCUUCCUUAAGCAGCCAUGAGACCAAUCUUUUAAAAUCACCUGCUGUGGCACUUAGUCUUAAGUCCAACCGCUCUAGCCAGGUAUCUAAGCUAAGGGAGUGUGCAUCAUCUAAACAUAGCCACUCUAGCAAGUCUUCUGCUGCUGGGAGUGCCAUCUCUUCCCUAGCUGCCUUGCACAUUAAGGAGGCUGCACGCCUGAAGCUAAAGAGCAAGGUAGCGGGGGCGGAGGCUGAUGCUAAGGCAGCUGAUCUCACCCUUCCCUUUAAAGAAGAAGAGCAACGACUGCAAAUAGAACAGGCCCGUAGACAAAGCGAAAUGCAAAUGGAACAGGCCCAAAGGCAAGGUGAAAUAGAAAUGCUUAGAAUAAGGAUGGAUGCUACUGCCAAAAAGGUAAGGGCUGAGACUUUGGCCAAGGCCCUAAUUGAGCCACUCACAGAAGAAAAUGUAAGUCAGUUGCCGAAGCAGGACCCUUCUUCCAAGGUGCUUGUGCAUCUUAAUAGCUUAAACAGCCAGUUUUCGGAUGAGGAACAGGAAGACUUCUCUCCUUACCCAGAGCAGGGCCCCAAAGUCACUUUUGAGUUUCCUGCAGAGCAGAGCGUCAUAGCGGGGAGCUCACCCUUGCCCGAGCUACCUGUGCCUCCUGCUAAAUCCCUAGGUCAGUCAAUCAGGGCCUCAAGGCCAAGUGCUAGUUGGCCCUUACAGACAGCUGCACAGGGAGCCACCGAUUCGUCAGUGGUCGAUGUCAUCCCUCCAAGAGGCCAAAGGUUGACGCAAGGUGCACGGUGGGAGUCCACUCCACAACAGCAAACUCCUCAAUUGUUCCCUUCGACGCCAGAGUCCCAGCUUGUCUCCAUCAUCAGAAGCCCCAGAAGAGAUCUUAAGGACAAGGGUGUCGAAAAGUUUUCGGACAAGCCUGAGGAAUUUCUUCUCUGGAAGGCCACCUUCCAGAGAGCAAUCAGAGACUUAAAGUUAUUGCCUGAGGAAGAACUGACUCUUCUGGCUGCAUGGUUGGGCCCAGCCUCAUCCUCACAAGUUAAGAAGAUCUACGCAGCCCACGUAGCCGAUCCCAACAAAGCCCUGGAAAAGGCCUGGGCCAGGUUGCAGCAGAGGUAUGGGGCCAGCACAGAGAUUGAAGCAUCUCUUAUGGACAAGCUCCAAAGGUUCCCAGCUUUAAAACUCAAAGACUUCAAACUCUUGUGGGACCUCAGCGAUCUCCUUGCGGAAUUAGAGUCGGCCAAGGAGAAUCCAGAACUGCCCGGUUUGAAGUGCCUCGAUCAGCACCUGUCCCAGAGGCAGAUCUUGACCAAGCUGCCCUUCACUUUGCAAGAACGCUGGGGACAGGAGGUCUUCAACUACAAGGAGGCCCACUCCCAGGCAUACCCUCCAUUUUCUCAUUUGGUCCAGUUCAUCACAAGGGCGGCCAGAGAAAGGAAUGAUCCGCAGACGGGCCUCCCCACCUUAUACCAAGGGACCCAGCCAGAGAAGGCACCUGAAGUGGACAAGAAACCACCUAGAGAGGCCAAUAGACCUGUCAGCGUAAAGGCAGUCGAAACUCAACACAAGGCUGACGAACCCAGGUCGGAGGUAAAAGAGUUGCUCUGCCCCAUUCACCAAAAGCCUCACAGUUUGGCCAACUGCCGGGAAUUUGGCAAGAAGCCUUAUAAAGAAAGACAACAGAUUGUACAGAAGCUGGGCAUAUGUUUUAGGUGCUGUGGAGCAACUCUUCACUUUGCAUCCAACUGCAAAGAGGAUGUCAAAUGCGCAAGGUGUAACAGCCUUAAGCAUUGCACCGCGAUGCACAACUCUGACGCUGUCUCCCACGCCAAAGGGGACACGUCUUCCAAAGAAGGGUCAUCUACUGAAGCCACCAACAUGCAGACCGCGUCACGGAUGCAGGAGGAUGCUCCAUCGGUCGCCUGUACUGAACUAUGCUCUGACGUGCACCAGUUCAGAGUCUGCCAUCCCAUCUGCCUAGCAGAUGUAUAUCCAGCCAGAAGACCUUGGCUUAAAAAGAGACUUUACGUGGCUUUGGAUUCACAAAGCGACGCCUCCCUGGCGACUCCAGAGUUUUUCCAACUGUUUGACAUAAAAACCCAGACGGUCGACUACACCAUGUCCACCUGUGUAGGGAAGAAGAAGUUGCAGGGUCGUAUAGCAUCCGGCUUUGUUGUCUCCUCUUGUGACCAGAAGAGACUGUUCGAGUUACCAGACCUCAUUGAGUGUUCCUCUAUUCCCCGGAACAAAAGGCAGAUUGUCACCAGAGAAGUCGUGGAAGCCCAUCCUCACUUGCGAAAGCUGAAGAACGCCUUACCUGCUUUCCGUCCAGAUGUGGACAUUGCCCUUCUGCUUGGUGCGGACUGUCCGAACUUGUUCUAUGUGAACGACCAAGUUAAGGGACCUCCAGGGGCGCCCAUUGCUCAGCUGCUACCACUAGGCUGGACAGUUACAGGCCCGGUGUGCAUAAAUAGGAUGCACCCUCCAUCGUCGGUGGGCACUCGUCAAGCGCACGUGCUUCAAGGCAGUCGCCCCACACUAAUGCAUAGCUGUUUGAGUCAUAUCUCGGUCUAUUGUCAGGGGAUAACACCAGAGUAUUCUUCCAUCUUUGAAGUCUCCGAAAGGGAUGAAACUACAGCGCUUUCCAAAGAUGAACAGAGGUUUUUAGAGAUCAUGAACUCUCAAGUUUCCCGGAGUCCCGAGGGAAAUUGGAUAGCCCCUCUGCCUUUUAAAGCAGAAAAACCCACUUUGCCAAACAACAGGCAUGUGGCAGAAAAUAGACUCUGGUCACUGAAGAAGAAGAUGCAGAAAGACCCCAAGGUAAAGGAGCAAAUCGUUGGCUUUAUGGAAGACAUGUUCCAAAGUAACUACGCCGAGGUCUCUGAUCAAAGUGAGGUCAAUGAAGAAAACUGGUUCCUGCCUUUCCAUAAAGUCACGCAUCCCCAAAAGCCUAACAAGGUCCGAAUUGUAUUCGAUGCCAGUGCCACAUGCCAAGGCAUUUCUCUUAAUAAUGUUUUGCUAAAGGGACCAGAUCUUUUAAACAGUUUGCUCGGAGUCAUCUUGAGAUUUAGAGAGAAAGAGUUUGCUGUUAUUGCAGACAUCCACAAGAUGUUUUACGCCUUUUUAGUUCGUCCUGAUCAUCGCAGGUACCUCAAGUUUUUGUGGUACGCGGACACUCAAAAUUUGUGUGACGUUCGGGUUUUUCAGAUGCGCGUACAUGUCUUUGGAAAUACCCCGUCUCCAGCCGUUGCAAACUACUGCCUCAAAAGAACCGCAGAUGAGUUUGGGCACCAGUUCAGUCCAGAAGUCGCCAGCAUAGUUAACCACAACUUCUACGUGGAUGAUCUUCUGGUUUCGUUUGACUCCGUUCAUCAAGCCAUCCAAAUAGUGCAUGAGCUGCAGGCUUUGUUAAAAGGUGCCAGGAUGGAAGGACAUCAUGUUGCCAGUUCCGGACGGAACUCACCGUGCCCUGUGGAAACAGGUGCAGUCCUUGGCCAACCACUUUUGGAAAAGGUGGAAAGCUGAGUACUUAAGCCAGCUUCAAGCUAGAAGAAUCUGGCAAAGCCCACAGGACAACAUUGAGGUUAACAACGUUGUGUUGUUAAAGGACAAAGACUUGCCCCGCCAUGCAUGGCCCAUGGGCAUUGUAUUAAAGACCUUUCCUUGCCCGGAUGGUAAGGUCAGGAAAGUUCAAUUAAAGACUUGCAACAGAGACAAAGUGUCCAUUUUGGACAGACCAAUUAGUGACCUCAUGUUGCUUAUUGGAGAUGUUUAAAGUUCUAGUGUUUGUAUUGUCAUAUGUGCAAAGGUGUUUGUAUGUUUUUGAGUGGUAAAUUCCCACAUCCUGGGAAUUUAAGCGGGGAGUGUUCCGUCCCCCAGGACGAUGGUUUGCCUUACUUAUUGGUCGUUUGUUUGUUUUCCCUCCUUUGCAUUUUGUUUCAGCCUCUGGCUGCAAAAGCCCAGGAAAGGUGGCUUGAAGUCUGCAAGAGCUGGCUGCAGUUUUCUUUGCAAUGAUUGGUCAAAGAGUACAUCUUAGGACCGCCCUUUUUACCAGGGUCUAGUCUCCAUUUUAGAGUUUCAUUCUGGCUAUAGUCUUCCAACGUGCUGGAGCUGUGCAAGGCUAACUGGGACAAAUCAUCCUCAAAACCAGGCCAAUCUAAGCCUAUCCAAAUUAGAUAAGUAUUGAAUUAUAUUGAUCUGGAAUAGGAAAUCUAGUUAGAGGAGCAGAGUUAUUCCAUCGCUUCUAGAACUAAUCUUUGCUGUAAAGAUAGGGAAGGAAAGAGUUUCUCCUUCUAAUAUAGGCAGCGUGAUUAGGGUAUAGUGGUUUUAUAAUCACUUUUGCCUUCUGGAACCAGGGAUAAUUCUGUGACUAAAACCUAUAGAAAUUUGUUUCAUUUUCUGCAACUUUAAGAUCUGUGCCAGGUUUACAACCUUGUAUGAAUAAACAUCCUUUUUUGAAGUUAUCCAGACUCAGUCGUCA